GCCGAAGUGGUGAAAUUGGCAGACACGCUGCGUUCAGGGCGCAGUGGGCGCAAGCCCUUGAGGGUUCGAAUCCCUCCUUCGGCA
Molecule: transfer RNA, 84 nt
Filed under: Candidatus Portnoybacteria bacterium CG10_big_fil_rev_8_21_14_0_10_44_7
Lineage: Bacteria; Candidatus Portnoyibacteriota
Description: tRNA-Leu
Rfam family: tRNA
About the family: Transfer RNA (tRNA) molecules are approximately 80 nucleotides in length. Their secondary structure includes four short double-helical elements and three loops (D, anti-codon, and T loops).
Source: RNAcentral